This 21-nucleotide non-coding RNA is filed under the name Caenorhabditis elegans. The record is from RNAcentral. Lineage: Eukaryota; Metazoa; Nematoda; Chromadorea; Rhabditida; Rhabditidae.
UUUCAAUGUAAUGGAACAUUU